RNAcentral lists this ribosomal RNA (2875 nucleotides) under Alteromonas mediterranea U7. Its description in RNAcentral is "bacterial LSU rRNA". It matches the Rfam family "Bacterial large subunit ribosomal RNA". The record is from RNAcentral. Lineage: Bacteria; Pseudomonadati; Pseudomonadota; Gammaproteobacteria; Alteromonadales; Alteromonadaceae.
AUGGUUAAGUGACGAAGCGUAUACGGUGGAUGCCUUGGCAGUUAGAGGCGAUGAAGGACGUGUAAGUCUGCGAAAAGCUGUGGUGAGCCGACAAAAUGCAUUUGAGCCACAGAUGUCCGAAUGGGGAAACCCACCUGUUUACAGGUAUCGUUGCGUGAAUACAUAGCGUAACGAGGCGAACGAGGGGAACUGAAACAUCUAAGUACCCUUAGGAAAAGAAAUCAAACGAGAUUCCCCUAGUAGCGGCGAGCGAACGGGGAACAGCCCUUAAGCUGUUUAGUGUGUAGUGGAAUCCUUUGGGAAGAGGAGCGAUACAGGGUGAUAGCCCCGUACACAAAGCGUGCUUUACAGUGAAACGAGUAGGUCGGGACACGUGUUAUCUUGACUGAAUAUGGGGGGACCAUCCUCCAAGGCUAAAUACUCCUAACUGACCGAUAGUGAACCAGUACCGUGAGGGAAAGGCGAAAAGAACCCCUGUGAGGGGAGUGAAAUAGAACCUGAAACCGUAUACGUACAAGCAGUGGGAGCCCUUCGGGGUGACUGCGUACCUUUUGUAUAAUGGGUCAGCGACUUAUAUUUAGUAGCAAGGUUAAGCGAAUAGCGGAGCCGUAGCGAAAGCGAGUGUUAACUGCGCGUUAGUUGCUAGGUAUAGACCCGAAACCCGGUGAUCUAGCCAUGAGCAGGUUGAAGGUUGAGUAACAUCAACUGGAGGACCGAACCCACUGACGUUGAAAAGUCAGGGGAUGACUUGUGGCUGGGGGUGAAAGGCCAAUCAAACCGGGAGAUAGCUGGUUCUCCCCGAAAUCUAUUUAGGUAGAGCCUCGGAYGAAUUCCAUUGGGGGUAGAGCACUGUUAAGGCUAGGGGGUCAUCCCGACUUACCAACCCUUUGCAAACUCCGAAUACCAAUGAGAACUAUCCGGGAGACACACGGCGGGUGCUAACGUCCGUCGUGGAGAGGGAAACAACCCAGACCGCCAGCUAAGGUCCCAAAAUAUUGCUAAGUGGGAAACGAUGUGGGAAGGCACAGACAGCUAGGAGGUUGGCUUAGAAGCAGCCACCCUUUAAAGAAAGCGUAAUAGCUCACUAGUCGAGUCGGCCUGCGCGGAAGAUGUAACGGGGCUAAGCAAUAUACCGAAGCUGCGGCAGCAUGUUUACAUGCUGGGUAGGGGAGCGUUGUGUAAGUGGAUGAAGGUGAGUUGUAAAGCUUGCUGGACAUAUCACAAGUGCGAAUGCUGACAUGAGUAACGAUAAUGGGAGUGAAAAACUCCCACGCCGGAAGACCAAGGUUUCCUGUCCCAUGCUAAUCAGGGCAGGGUAAGUCGGCCCCUAAGGCGAGGCAGAAAUGCGUAGUCGAUGGGAAACGGAUUAAUAUUUCCGUACUUAUAUAAUCAGUGAUGGAGGGACGGAGAAGGCUAGGCAAGCUUGGCGUUGGUUGUCCAAGUGAAAGUGUGUAGGCCGAGCGUUUAGGUAAAUCCGGACGCUUAAAGUCGAGACACGAGACGAGCUCCCAAGGGAGUGAAGUUGUUGAUGCCCUGCUUCCAGGAAAAGCUUCUAAACUUAUGAUUAUAUGAACCGUACCCCAAACCGACACAGGUGGUCAGGUAGAGAAUACUAAGGCGCUUGAGAGAACUCGGGUGAAGGAACUCGGCAAAAUUGUACCGUAACUUCGGGAGAAGGUACGCCUCUGUUUGUGAACACUUUACGUGGUAAGCAAAUGGAGGCCGCAGUGACCAGGUGGCUGGGACUGUUUAUUAAAAACACAGCACUCUGCAAACUCGUAAGAGGACGUAUAGGGUGUGACACCUGCCCGGUGCCGGAAGGUUAAUUGAUGGGGUUAGUUUUCGGACGAAGCUCUUGAUCGAAGCCCCGGUAAACGGCGGCCGUAACUAUAACGGUCCUAAGGUAGCGAAAUUCCUUGUCGGGUAAGUUCCGACCUGCACGAAUGGUGUAACCAUGGCCACGCUGUCUCCACCCGAGACUCAGUGAAAUUGAAAUCGCAGUGAAGAUGCUGUGUACCCGCACCUAGACGGAAAGACCCCGUGAACCUUUACUACAGCUUGGCACUGAACAUUGAACCUACAUGUGUAGGAUAGGUGGGAGGCUUGAAGCACAGUCGCUAGAUUGUGUGGAGCCGUCCUUGAAAUACCACCCUUGUAUGUUUGAUGUUCUAACAUAGGUCCCUUAUCGGGAUUGUGGACAGUGUCUGGUGGGUAGUUUGACUGGGGCGGUCUCCUCCCAAAUAGUAACGGAGGAGCACGAAGGUUAGCUAAUCACGGUCGGACAUCGUGAGGUUAGUGCAAUGGCAUAAGCUAGCUUAACUGCGAGACAGACACGUCGAGCAGGUACGAAAGUAGGUCAUAGUGAUCCGGUGGUUCUGUAUGGAAGGGCCAUCGCUCAACGGAUAAAAGGUACUCCGGGGAUAACAGGCUGAUACCGCCCAAGAGUUCAUAUCGACGGCGGUGUUUGGCACCUCGAUGUCGGCUCAUCACAUCCUGGGGCUGAAGUCGGUCCCAAGGGUAUGGCUGUUCGCCAUUUAAAGUGGUACGCGAGCUGGGUUUAGAACGUCGUGAGACAGUUCGGUCCCUAUCUGGUGUGGGCGUUGGAUGAUUGAUGGGAGCUGCUCCUAGUACGAGAGGACCGGAGUGGACGAACCGCUGGUGUUCGGGUUGUCAUGCCAAUGGCAUUGCCCGGUAGCUAUGUUCGGAACGGAUAACCGCUGAAAGCAUCUAAGCGGGAAGCCGGCCCAAAGAUGAGUCAUCCCUGACCUUUAAGGUCUGGAAGGGUUGUUAUAGACGAUGACGUUGAUAGGCAGGGUGUGGAAGCGUUGUAAGGCGUUAAGCUAACCUGUACUAAUUGCCCGAGAGGCUUAACCAU